AAAAAUGCAGGAGGCCCACUAGGUUAGGCUCAUUAGUCCAAACAUAAAAAAUAAAAAAACUAGCUAUAAUCUGAACCACUUGAUGGAUUCAAGGGCGAGAUCUGGCCAUAAGAUCCAAUGAUUUAGGCCCUUUAAUCUUAAUCUUGUGAUCAUAAGAUGAGGGUCUAUGAUAGACCCAAUGGGGGAUCCUAUACAUGAUCUCUUCAUUUAAAAUAUAAACCAACCAAAAUAUUCCCGACAUGUGGCAAUCGUAAUUAAAAAAGAAGAAGAAAACAAAACAAAUAAAUAAAUAAACAAGAAAAGAAAAAAAU
Molecule: long non-coding RNA, 311 nt
Filed under: Lathyrus oleraceus (garden pea)
Lineage: Eukaryota; Viridiplantae; Streptophyta; Magnoliopsida; Fabales; Fabaceae
Description: Pisum sativum (pea) long non-coding RNA (PSAT_LNC040255)
Source: RNAcentral